AGCCCGAGGUGGAGGGUUGGUCGCCACCAGAAAGCCGCGGUCACUUCUUUCUGAAAGGAGUGGAGUCAACGUAACUACAGCUUUCUCACUGAGUCAUACCAGCUGUUGCAAGUAAUGCUGAACAAAAAUAAUUCCCCGGUUACUCUGCCUGUGCUUUUGCCUGUGGUUAACUUCACUGUUUUUGUUUAAGUCAGUUUCUUCUUUGGUGUGCAUCUGUGACAUAGCAGGAAAGAUGUGCCUGUGUAAGUAAGCUUCACAAGUCGUUUAGGAGAUGUAUAGGAAAAUAUAGAACUGCUUUUAAGUAACUCUUGAAAGUUGGCUAGAUUUUAAGCUGACUCUGCCCUUUUAACAGAUGCUCAGAAGAGUGACUGCUCUUUAUUGCCUCAGCAUACCAUCUUGGGAUAACACAUCAGCCAGUCUGAUGGAAUAUUUUAUGUAGAGUUACUACUUCCCGUGAGUCAUUGCUGAAAGUGGCAAUUACGUCUGCAAGAACACAGCAUCAUUCAUGUCCCUUGCUAGAAGUCGUACAUUAGGGGGGGGUUGUGUUGGUCCUAAGAAUCAUAGAGUUCUAUAGAAGUGUUGCUAGUAAGACACAAAAGACUGAAUAAUUACUUCUUUUUUUUUUUUCUGUGUUUGAGCAUACAGUUGAACCCCAAACUUCUAUCAGUCUGCAAGGUGAGAAAACACAUCCUCUUCCAGCAGUGACUCGGCAGCGUGUUAGCCAUCAAAGCUAGGUUUAAAGUAACAUGUUCAGAUAACUUUAAUUCAGUGUUUGUGUUCAAACUGAUCAAACAGCAAUCUGUAUUGCUACUGUUUGUUUUCAGUAAAUUUGAAACUGGGAAAGACAAUCCAGAGGAGUUGAUGAAGUUUAAAGUACUGGCAAUAAAAAGAGUAAAAGAAGACAAGCCAGAUGAUUACUGGGUAAUAUCCAUGUAGCCAAAAAAAUGUAUAACUGAUAGGUAAUCUGUUAAAGGAAAGCAGUAAAGCUAAUGUUCAUGGGUAUAUGAAAAACAGAUCUGACCACAGUUUUAUUAAACACACUUGACAAAAAA
Molecule: long non-coding RNA, 1052 nt
Organism: Calidris pugnax (ruff)
Lineage: Eukaryota; Metazoa; Chordata; Aves; Charadriiformes; Scolopacidae
Exons: 2
Source: RefSeq, a predicted model, not a curated record